RNAcentral lists this ribosomal RNA (431 nucleotides) under uncultured bacterium. RNAcentral describes it as "partial 16S ribosomal RNA". It matches the Rfam family "Bacterial small subunit ribosomal RNA", at positions 29 to 507 of the family's 1533-position model. The record is from RNAcentral.
AACGAACGCUGGCGGCAGGCUUAACACAUGCAGGUCGAACGCCCCGCAAGGGGAGUGGCAGACGGGUGAGUAACGCGUGGGAACAUACCCUUUUCUACGGAAUAGCUCUGGGAAACUGGAAUUAAUACCGUAUACGCCCUACGGGGGAAAGAUUUAUCGGGGAAGGAUUGGCCCGCGUUGGAUUAGCUAGUUGGUGGGGUAAAGGCCUACCAAGGCGACGAUCCAUAGCUGGUCUGAGAGGAUGAUCAGCCACAUUGGGACUGAGACACGGCCCAAACUCCUACGGGAGGCAGCAGUGGGGAAUAUUGGACAAUGGGCGCAAGCCUGAUCCAGCCAUGCCGCGUGAGUGAUGAAGGCCUUAGGGUUGUAAAGCUCUUUCACCGAUGAAGAUAAUGACGGUAGUCGGAGAAGAAGCCCCGGCUAACUUCGUG